AAAAUAAAAAUAAGUGGAAAAGGAUGUGGCGUUGCCCAGACAACUAGGAUGUUGGCUUAGAAGCAGCCAUCAUUUAAAGAGUGCGUAAUAGCUCACUAGUCGAGUGACA
Molecule: ribosomal RNA, 109 nt
Filed under: Staphylococcus aureus
Lineage: Bacteria; Bacillati; Bacillota; Bacilli; Caryophanales; Staphylococcaceae
Description: partial 23S ribosomal RNA
Rfam family: Bacterial large subunit ribosomal RNA
Source: RNAcentral